CCUACGGGUGGCAGCAGUGGGGAAUAUUGGUCAAUGGGCGCAAGCCUGACCCAGCAACGCCGCGUGAAGGAAGAAGGCUUUCUGGUUGUAAACUUCUUUUCUGAGGGACGAAGAAAGUGACGGUACCUCAGGAAUAAGCCACGGCUAACUACGUGCCAGCAGCCGCGGUAAUACGUAGGUGGCAAGCGUUAUCCGGAUUUAUUGGGUGUAAAGGGCGUGUAGGCGGGAAAGCAAGUCAGAUGUGAAAUCUCAGGGCUCAACCCUGAUCCUGCAUUUGAAACUGUUUUUCUUGAGUGCUGGAGAGGCAAGCGGAAUUCGGUGUGUAGCGGUGAAAUGCGUAGAUAUACGGAGGAACACCAGUGGCGAAGGCGGAUUGCUGGACCUUAACUGACGCUGAGGCACGAAGGCCAGGGGAGCGAAAGGGAUUAGAUACCCUUGUAGUC
This 443-nucleotide ribosomal RNA is filed under the name uncultured bacterium. Its description in RNAcentral is "partial 16S ribosomal RNA". It matches the Rfam family "Bacterial small subunit ribosomal RNA", at positions 338 to 795 of the family's 1533-position model. The record is from RNAcentral.